UACGUAUGGAGCAAGCGUUAUCCGGAUUUACUGGGUGUAAAGGGAGCGCAGGCGGCAGCGCAAGCCAGAAGUGAAACUCCGGGGCCCAACCCCGGAACUGCUUUUGGAACUGCGCAGCUGGAGUGCAGGAGAGGCAGGCGGAAUUCCUAGUGUAGCGGUGAAAUGCGUAGAUAUUAGGAGGAACACCAGUGGCGAAGGCGGCCUGCUGGACUGUAACUGACGCUGAGGCUCGAAAGCGUGGGGAGCAA
This 248-nucleotide ribosomal RNA is filed under the name uncultured Lachnospiraceae bacterium. RNAcentral describes it as "partial 16S ribosomal RNA". It matches the Rfam family "Bacterial small subunit ribosomal RNA", at positions 524 to 771 of the family's 1533-position model. Lineage: Bacteria; Bacillati; Bacillota; Clostridia; Lachnospirales; Lachnospiraceae. The record is from RNAcentral.